This 460-nucleotide ribosomal RNA is filed under the name uncultured bacterium. Its description in RNAcentral is "partial 16S ribosomal RNA". It matches the Rfam family "Bacterial small subunit ribosomal RNA", at positions 338 to 795 of the family's 1533-position model. The record is from RNAcentral.
CCUACGGGGGGCAGCAGUGAGGAAUAUUGGUCAAUGGGCGGAAGCCUGAACCAGCCAAGUAGCGUGCAGGAUGACGGCCCUACGGGUUGUAAACUGCUUUUAUACGGGAAUAACGCGCCUUAAGUGUAGGGCUUUGCAUGUACCGUAUGAAUAAGGACCGGCUAAUUCCGGGCCAGCAGCCGCGGUAAUACGGAAGGUCCGGGCGUUAGCCGGAUUUAGUGGGUGUAAAGGGAGCGUAGGCCGCAUGUCAAGCGUGCCGUGAAAUGUCCGGGCUCAACCCGGGCCUUGCAGCGCGAACUGGCGUGCUUGAGUCCGCGGAUAGCAGGCGGAAUUCGUCGUGUAGCGGUGAAAUGCUUAGAUAUGACGAAGAACCCCGAUUGCGAAGGCAGCUUGCUGCAGCGGAACUGACGCUGAUGCUCGAAAGCGCGGGUAUCAAACAGGAUUAGAUACCCUGGUAGUC